UCAAACACGUAAACAAACAUGCUCGGCACAGCGCGGUUCUAGUAGUGGCAAAAUAGCUUCCGGUGUUUACUUUUCACUUCGAGCCAUUUGAAAUGAGUGCACCAGCAUUGUGCAGGACAACGAAACAAUUUUGAGAAGAAUCGACAACAGAGAGAGGGCGCAGACAAGCUGGAGAAGAACCCAGAACAGCACCUGGAGGAGCAAGACACAGGCCACAUGCUCGAGUGAGAAAAACGGGACUAAUCUACGGAAAAUAGAAAAAGAAGUCCUCGCAAUAUUUCGUCGGGAACUUCUCACCGGCACCUCUUCUGUCUGAACGUAGCUGACCCUCUGACAAACGGACCCAAUUUUCCCUUUCCAAUUUACGUGGGAUGAGGACAGCACUGCGCAUUAAAGAAGAGGCGAGAGAUUCUUGUGACUUCGAGUCAUCACAUGCCAGGCCCUUUGGAAUCACAACUCCAAGAAAAUGCAGUUAUCUCUGGAGUUCCGCAAUCAGCCCGUGAGAGUGAAAUCGGAACCACCUGAUGUUGCAUGCCUGCCACAACGGGGCCAGGUACAUCAACAGCACUGCAGCGAACAUCCUUCAGGAGGUGAUGC
Long non-coding RNA from Ornithodoros turicata, 597 nucleotides. RefSeq lists it as uncharacterized. The record is from RefSeq and is a predicted model, not a curated record. The transcript is spliced from 4 exons. Lineage: Eukaryota; Metazoa; Arthropoda; Arachnida; Ixodida; Argasidae.